GUCCAUGCCGUAAACGAUGUCUACUAGCCGUUGGGGCCUUUGAGGCUUUAGUGGCGCAGCUAACGCGAUAAGUAGACCGCCUGGGGGAGUACGGUCGCAAGACUAAAACUCAAAUGAAUUGGACGGGGGGCCCGCACAAGCGGUGGAGCAUGUGGUUUUAAUUCGAUGCAACGCGAAGAACCUUACCUGGCCUUGACAUACUAGAAACUUUCCAGAGAUGGAUUGGUGCCUUCGGGAAUCUAGAUACAGGUGCUGCAUGGCUGUCGU
This 267-nucleotide ribosomal RNA is filed under the name uncultured bacterium. Its description in RNAcentral is "partial 16S ribosomal RNA". It matches the Rfam family "Bacterial small subunit ribosomal RNA", at positions 793 to 1055 of the family's 1533-position model. The record is from RNAcentral.